RNAcentral lists this long non-coding RNA (521 nucleotides) under Homo sapiens (human). RNAcentral describes it as "HSALNT0317439". Lineage: Eukaryota; Metazoa; Chordata; Mammalia; Primates; Hominidae. The record is from RNAcentral.
GUCUCGAACUCCUGACCUCAGGUGAUCCACCCGCCUCAGGCUCCCAAAGUGCUGGGAUUACAGGCGUGAGCUGCUGUGCUUAGUCUAAUUUGUUUUAAUUUUUUUUGUGGAGAUAAGAGUCUCACUCUGUUGCCCAGGUUGGUCUUGAACUCCUGGGCAAGAGUUCUUUGGGGAAGGGCGUGGUGGCUCAUGCCUGUAAUCCCACACUUUGGGAGGCUGAGGUGGGUGGAUCACUUGAGGUCAGGAGUUUGAGAUCAGCUUGGCCAACACGGUGAAACCCUGUCAAUACUAAAAAUACAAAAACUAGCCAGGCGUGGUAGUGGGUGCCUGUAAUCCCAGCUACUUGGGAGGCUGAGGCACGAGAAUCUCUUGAACCUGAGACAUGGAGCUUGCAGUGAGCUGAGAUCGUGCCACUGCUCUCCAGCCCGGGUGACAGAGUGAGACUCUGUCUCAAAAAAAUAAAAAAUAAAAAAUAAAAAACAGCAUUCUUUGGGAGGCUAAGCGAUCCUCCUGCUUCAGGC